UGCAGUCGAGCGGAUGACGGGAGCUUGCUCCUUGAUUCAGCGGCGGACGGGUGAGUAAUGCCUAGGAAUCUGCCUGGUAGUGGGGGACAACGUUUCGAAAGGAACGCUAAUACCGCAUACGUCCUACGGGAGAAAGCAGGGGACCUUCGGGCCUUGCGCUAUCAGAUGAGCCUAGGUCGGAUUAGCUAGUAGGUGAGGUAAUGGCUCACCUAGGCGACGAUCCGUAACUGGUCUGAGAGGAUGAUCAGUCACACUGGAACUGAGACACGGUCCAGACUCCUACGGGAGGCAGCAGUGGGGAAUAUUGGACAAUGGGCGAAAGCCUGAUCCAGCCAUGCCGCGUGUGUGAAGAAGGUCUUCGGAUUGUAAAGCACUUUAAGUUGGGAGGAAGGGCAGUAAGCUAAUACCUUGCUGUUUUGACGUUACCGACAGAAUAAGCACCGGCUAACUCUGUGCCAGCAGCCGCGGUAAUACAGAGGGUGCAAGCGUUAAUCGGAAUUACUGGGCGUAAAGCGCGCGUAGGUGGUUCGUUAAGUUGGAUGUGAAAGCCCCGGGCUCAACCUGGGAACUGCAUCCAAAACUGGCGAGCUAGAGUAUGGUAGAGGGUGGUGGAAUUUCCUGUGUAGCGGUGAAAUGCGUAGAUAUAGGAAGGAACACCAGUGGCGAAGCGACCACCUGGACUGAUACUGACACUGAGGUGCGAAAGCGUGGGGAGCAACAGGAUUAGAUACCCUGGUAGUCCCCGCCGUAACGAUGUCAACUAGCCGUUGGAAUCCUUGAGAUUUUAGUGCGCAGCUAACGCAUUAAGUUGACCGCCUGGGGAGUACGCCGCAAGGUUAAACUCAAUGAAUUGACGGGGCCCGCACAAGCGGUGGAGCAUGGGGUUUAUUCGAGCAACCCGAAAAUCUACAGCUGACAUGCAAAAACUU
RNAcentral lists this ribosomal RNA (929 nucleotides) under Pseudomonas plecoglossicida. RNAcentral's name for it is "bacterial SSU rRNA". It matches the Rfam family "Bacterial small subunit ribosomal RNA", at positions 56 to 991 of the family's 1533-position model. The record is from RNAcentral. Lineage: Bacteria; Pseudomonadati; Pseudomonadota; Gammaproteobacteria; Pseudomonadales; Pseudomonadaceae.